Molecule: ribosomal RNA, 460 nt
Filed under: uncultured bacterium
Lineage: Bacteria
Description: partial 16S ribosomal RNA
Rfam family: Bacterial small subunit ribosomal RNA
Source: RNAcentral
CCUACGGGCGGCAGCAGUGAGGAAUAUUGGUCAAUGGACGAGAGUCUGAACCAGCCAAGUAGCGUGAAGGAUGACUGCCCUAUGGGUUGUAAACUUCUUUUAUAUGGGAAUAAAACAGGGUAUGCAUACCCUCUUGUAUGUACCAUAUGAAUAAGGAUCGGCUAACUCCGUGCCAGCAGCCGCGGUAAUACGGAGGAUCCGAGCGUUAUCCGGAUUUAUUGGGUUUAAAGGGAGCGUAGGUGGAUUGUGAAGUCAGUUGUGAAAGUUUGCGGCUCAACCGUAAAAUUGCAGUUGAAACUGGCAGUCGUGAGUGCAGUAGAGGUGGGCGGAAGUCGUGGUGUAGCGGUGAAAUGCUUAGAUAUCACGAAGAACUCCGAUUGCGAAGGCAGCUCACUGGACUGCAACUGACACUGAUGCUCGAAAGUGUGGGUAUCAAACAGGAUUAGAUACCCUGGUAGUC